RNAcentral lists this ribosomal RNA (214 nucleotides) under Methylococcaceae bacterium HT3. RNAcentral's name for it is "partial 23S ribosomal RNA". It matches the Rfam family "Bacterial large subunit ribosomal RNA", at positions 1 to 207 of the family's 2925-position model. The record is from RNAcentral. Lineage: Bacteria; Pseudomonadati; Pseudomonadota; Gammaproteobacteria; Methylococcales; Methylococcaceae.
GUUAUAUGGUCAAGUGAAUAAGCGCAUACGGUGGAUGCCUAGGCGAUAAGAGGCGAAGAAGGACGUUGUAGGAUGCGAUAAGCCGCGGAGAGUUUUCAAACUAACUUUGACCCGCGGAUUUCCGAAUGGGGAAACCCAAUGGUCAUAAGGCCAUUAUCCUGACCUGAAUACAUAGGGUCAGAGAAGCGAACCGGGAGAACUGAAACAUCUAAGU